GGAGUUAGCCGGUGCUUCUUCUGUGAGUGAUGUCCUUCCUGCCGGCUAUUAACCCGCAGGCCUUCUUCCUCACUGAAAGUGCUUUACAACCCGAAGGCCUUCUUCACACACGCGGCAUGGCUGGAUCAGGGUUGCCCCCAUUGUCCAAUAUUCCCCACUGCUGCCUCCCGUAGGAGUCUGGGCCGUGUCUCAGUCCCAGUGUGGCUGAUCAUCCUCUCAGACCAGCUACGGAUCGUCGCCUUGGUGAGCCGUUACCUCACCAACCAGCUAAUCCGACAUAGGCUCAUCCGAUAGCGCGAGGCCCGAAGGUCCCCCGCUUUCCCCCGUAGGGCGUAUGCGGUAUUAGCCUGGGUUUCCCCAGGUUAUCCCCCACUACCGGGCAGAUUCCUAUGCAUUACUCACCCGUCCGCCGCUCGCCACCAGGGAGCAAGUCCCGUCCCGUCGUCGUCGCCGUCCGUACCGUACGUUCGACUAGUGUUAGGUUACCGGUCCGUCCGGCCCGACCGACGUCCGUACUACUUCGUAGACGACCGAAGUAACUAACCUAAACCUUCGUACGUACGUAGGACGGGCGGGUCGGUCGGACGGAACGGCCGACUAGUAG
RNAcentral lists this ribosomal RNA (604 nucleotides) under uncultured bacterium. RNAcentral describes it as "partial 16S ribosomal RNA". The record is from RNAcentral.